UUCAGUGGCCACACCUGUUUGCGAGUGCCCAAUAGUGUCAACUCUUGGAAGCUAAGUAGGGUUGUGCUUGGUUAGUACUUGGAUGGGAGGACACCUUGGAAGACCAGGUGCUGCUAGCC
RNAcentral lists this ribosomal RNA (119 nucleotides) under Mastacembelus armatus (zig-zag eel). Lineage: Eukaryota; Metazoa; Chordata; Actinopteri; Synbranchiformes; Mastacembelidae. The record is from RNAcentral.